GCUCCCUUUGGCAGCCAAUAUACUAAAAUUGGAAUAAUACAGAGAUUAGUCGGGCCCCCGUGCAAGGAUGGCAUGCUAAUUCACGAAGCACUCCUUACUUUA
Small nuclear RNA from Dama dama (fallow deer), 102 nucleotides. The record is from RefSeq and is a predicted model, not a curated record. NCBI's taxonomy places the organism in Eukaryota, Metazoa, Chordata, Mammalia, Artiodactyla, Cervidae.